GAAAAAACAAUGAGGUCUCUAAUGGCCUCCGCAACAGUCACUCUUGUGUUAGCAAUACUGUCUCUAAGCUUGCCAUCUCAAAUCUCAGCUGAUACCUACUUGUACUCAUCACCUCCUCCUCCCAAGAAGCCCUAUUAUUAUCACUCUCCUCCACCACCUUCACCUCCUCCACCUAAGCCAUACUACUAUCAUUCACCACCACCACCUUCACCUCCUCCACCCAAGCCAUACUACUAUCACUCACCACCACCACCUUCACCUCCUCCACCUAAACCAUACUACUAUCACUCACCACCACCACCUUCACCUCCUCCACCUAAACCAUACUACUAUCACUCACCACCACCACCUUCACCUCCUCCACCUAAACCAUACUACUAUCACUCACCACCACCACCUUCACCUCCUCCACCUAAGUCAUAUUACUAUCACUCACCACCACCACCACCCAAAAAGAAGCCAUACUACUACCAUUCUCCCCCACCACCUUCACCACCUCCUCCUAAGCCAUACUACUAUCACUCUCCCCCACCGCCUUCACCUCCUCCACCUACGCCAUACUACUAUCAUUCUCCCCCACCACCCUCACCACCUCCACCUAAGCCAUACUACUACCAUUCACCACCACCCCCACCGAAGAAGAAGCCUUACUACUACCACUCUCCACCACCACCUUCACCUCCUCCUCCAAAGAAGCCAUACUACUACCACUCCCCACCUCCUCCCAAGAAGCCCUACAAAUAUUCAUCUCCCCCACCUCCAGUGCACCCUUACCCUCAUCCUCACCCCCAUCCCCAUCCACACCCCCACCCUCACCCUCCCUACGUUUACAAAUCUCCUCCCCCACCCCCUAAGAAGCCAUACAAGUACCCAUCCCCACCACCUCCAGUCCACGUUUACCCUCACCCUCACCCGCAUCCACACCCUCACCCUCAACCUCACCCCCAUCCACAACCCCACCCUCCCUACAUUUAUCAGUCUCCUCCAC
This 988-nucleotide long non-coding RNA is filed under the name Phaseolus vulgaris (common bean). RNAcentral's name for it is "long non-coding RNA (PVUL_LNC002044)". The record is from RNAcentral. Lineage: Eukaryota; Viridiplantae; Streptophyta; Magnoliopsida; Fabales; Fabaceae.